This 215-nucleotide ribosomal RNA is filed under the name Penicillium sp. CBS 140612. Its description in RNAcentral is "partial 28S ribosomal RNA". It matches the Rfam family "Eukaryotic large subunit ribosomal RNA", at positions 1 to 212 of the family's 3401-position model. Lineage: Eukaryota; Fungi; Ascomycota; Eurotiomycetes; Eurotiales; Aspergillaceae. The record is from RNAcentral.
GGUUGACCUCGGAUCAGGUAGGGAUACCCGCUGAACUUAAGCAUAUCAAUAAGCGGAGGAAAAGAAACCAACAGGGAUUGCCCCAGUAACGGCGAGUGAAGCGGCAAGAGCUCAAAUUUGAAAGCUGGCCCCCUCGGGGUCCGCAUUGUAAUUUGCAGAGGAUGCUUCGGGAGUGGCCCCCAUCUAAGUGCUCUGGAACGGGCCGUCAUAGAGGG